GACGAACGCUGGCGGCGUGCCUAACACAUGCAAGUCGAACGGAAAGGCCCUGCUUUUGUGGGGUGCUCGAGUGGCGAACGGGUGAGUAACACGUGAGUAACCUGCCCUUGACUUUGGGAUAACUUCAGGAAACUGGGGCUAAUACCGGAUAGGAGCUCCUGCUGCAUGGUGGGGGUUGGAAAGUUUCGGCGGUUGGGGAUGGACUCACGGCUUAUCAGCUUGUUGGUGGGGUAGUGGCUUACCAAGGCUUUGACGGGUAGCCGGCCUGAGAGGGUGACCGGCCACAUUGGGACUGAGAUACGGCCCAGACUCCUACGGGAGGCAGCAGUGGGGAAUAUUGCACAAUGGGCGGAAGCCUGAUGCAGCAACGCCGCGUGCGGGAUGACGGCCUUCGGGUUGUAAACCGCUUUCGCCUGUGACGAAGCGUGAGUGACGGUAAUGGGUAAAGAAGCACCGGCUAACUACGUG
This 468-nucleotide ribosomal RNA is filed under the name uncultured bacterium. Its description in RNAcentral is "partial 16S ribosomal RNA". It matches the Rfam family "Bacterial small subunit ribosomal RNA", at positions 28 to 507 of the family's 1533-position model. The record is from RNAcentral.